Non-coding RNA from Mycena rebaudengoi, 93 nucleotides. Lineage: Eukaryota; Fungi; Basidiomycota; Agaricomycetes; Agaricales; Mycenaceae. The record is from the annotation of a GenBank genome assembly.
GACCUGUUAGUGCAGUUGGAAGCGCGCCCGUCCUAUCUAAGACUUGGAUUGUCUGGUAUGCAGGAGGCCUCGGUUCAAAUCCGGGACAGGUCG